Molecule: long non-coding RNA, 210 nt
Filed under: Panax ginseng (ginseng)
Lineage: Eukaryota; Viridiplantae; Streptophyta; Magnoliopsida; Apiales; Araliaceae
Description: long non-coding RNA (PGIN_LNC007413)
Source: RNAcentral
AUUCUAUUAUUUUUCACCAAAUGUCAGAGGCUAUAACUCUUUGUUAGAUCAUGAGUUUUGUUGUUUAAAGGUUGUUAUGUGUAGCUUGUUAUGUGGUAUUUAACCUCCAAAAAGAAUCAGGUCCAUAUAUAUUAUGGAUUAAGAGUUAUUUAAGGUCAAAGUGGGUUGACCGGCAUUGACCGGAAAAUUCUGGGCAGCCCAGAAUUUUCU